Molecule: ribosomal RNA, 207 nt
Filed under: uncultured bacterium
Lineage: Bacteria
Description: partial 16S ribosomal RNA
Rfam family: Bacterial small subunit ribosomal RNA
Source: RNAcentral
CGCGUAGGUGGUUUGUUAAGCGAGAUGUGAAAGCCCCGGGCUUAACCUGGGAACGGCAUUUCGAACUGGCAGACUAGAGUGUGGUAGAGGGUAGUGGAAUUUCCUGUGUAGCGGUGAAAUGCGUAGAUAUAGGAAGGAACACCAGUGGCGAAGGCGGCUACCUGGACCAACACUGACACUGAGGUGCGGAAGCGUGGGGAGCAAACA